RNAcentral lists this ribosomal RNA (436 nucleotides) under uncultured bacterium. RNAcentral describes it as "bacterial SSU rRNA". It matches the Rfam family "Bacterial small subunit ribosomal RNA", at positions 28 to 453 of the family's 1533-position model. The record is from RNAcentral.
GAUAAACGCUGGCGGCGCACAUAAGACAUGCAAGUCGAACGAACUUAACUCAUUCUUUACGAUUGAGAGCGGUUAGUGGCGGACUGGUGAGUAACACGUAAGCAACCUGCCUAUUAGAGGGGAAUAACAGUGAGAAAUCAUUGCUAAUACCGCAUAUGCUCACAGCAACACAUGUUGCAGUGAGGAAAGGAGCAAUCCGCUAAUAGAUGGGCUUGCGUCUGAUUAGCUAGUUGGUGGGGUAACGGCCUACCAAGGCGACGAUCAGUAGCCGGACUGAGAGGUUGAACGGCCACAUUGGGACUGAGAUACGGCCCAGACUCCUACGGGAGGCAGCAGUCGGGAAGUAUUGCGCAAUGGAGGAAACUCUGACGCAGUGACGCCGCGUAUAGGAAGAAGGUUUUCGGAUUGUAAACUAUUGUCAUUAGGAAGAUAAAAG